AGUGAACGCUGGCGGUAGGCCUAACACAUGCAAGUCGAACGGCAGCACAGGAAGAGCUUGCUCUUACGGGUGGCGAGUGGCGGACGGGUGAGGAAUACAUCGGAAUCUACUUUUUCGUGGGGGAUAACGUAGGGAAACUUACGCUAAUACCGCAGACGACCUACGGGUGAAAGCAGGGGAUCUUCGGACCUUGCGCGAUUGAAUGAGCCGAUGUCGGAUUAGCUAGUUGGCGGGGUAAAGGCCCACCAAGGCGACGAUCCGUAGCUGGUCUGAGAGGAUGAUCCGCCCCACUGGCCCUUCUCCGCCGUCCCUCCUCCUACGGUCUCCCGCCGUUCUUCCUCUUGUCCAAUGGGCUCCCUCCUCCUCCAUCCAUACCGCGUGGGUGAAGCAUUCCUUCCGGUUGUACAGCCCUUUUGUUGGGACACAACCUCCUCAGGUUAAUACCCCGCUCUUCUGACGGUACCCAAAGAAUAAGCACCGGCUAACUUCGUG
RNAcentral lists this ribosomal RNA (492 nucleotides) under uncultured bacterium. RNAcentral describes it as "partial 16S ribosomal RNA". It matches the Rfam family "Bacterial small subunit ribosomal RNA", at positions 29 to 507 of the family's 1533-position model. The record is from RNAcentral.